Drosophila rhopaloa is the source of this 410-nucleotide long non-coding RNA. RefSeq lists it as uncharacterized. The record is from RefSeq and is a predicted model, not a curated record. The transcript is spliced from 2 exons. Lineage: Eukaryota; Metazoa; Arthropoda; Insecta; Diptera; Drosophilidae.
GGAGUAAGCAGCACGACCAGUGGUACGCGCCGUGCGCAAUUGAAAGCGCGGCAGCAAAAGCAGGUCAGAAGUCCCCGAAAGCAGGCGGUGAGACAAAAACAGUAGAGAUGAAUAUUUGUCGCAUUCGCACCAAUGCCGAUAGCGUAAGCGCACACAUGACAAAGAGUAAGAAAGAAAUAGAUAAAAAAAAUAAUCAAUUUUAAACGUUGAAUUUUUUUUUACGGGAACAAAUAAAUCAUUUUGUAUGCCGAAAAACCGUGUACAAGAACUCGAAACUGGGCCCUGAUAAUCAUAUAUGACUGAUUACGGUGACGAGAAUCGUUACUUACACGCAAAGUUAACUUUUAUACGCAAAACAAAUUCCCGUCUUCAACUACACAAAUAACUGAAAAUUUUGUUAACGAAGCCAC